UACCUGGUUGAUCCUGCCAGUAGUCAUAUGCUUGUCUCAAAGACUAAGCCAUGCAUGUCUAAGUAUAAGUUUUAUACAGCGAAACUGCGAAUGGCUCAUUAAAACAGUUAUAGUUUACUUGAUAAUUACUCUUACAUGGAUAACCGUGGUAAUUCUAGAGCUAAUACAUGCUGAUUUGCCCGACUUCUUGGAAGGGCGGUAUUUAUUAGAUAACAACCAAUAUUCCUUGUGUCUAUUGUGGUGACUCAUAAUAACUGAUCGAAUCGCACGGCUUUUGCCGCGAUAAAUCAUUCAAGUUUCUGCCCCAUCAGCUGUCGAUGGUAGUGUAUUGGACUACCAUGGCAAUAACGGGUAACGGAGGAUUAGGGUUCGAUUCCGGAGAGGGAGCCUGAGAAACGGCUACCACAUCUAAGGAUGGCAGCAGGCGCGUAAAUUACCCAAUUCUGAUUCAGAGAGGUAGUGACAAGAAAUAACAGACCGAUACUUCUGUAACGGGGUUGCAAUGAGCCGAAUUUUUCUUCCCUUGGUGAGGAGCAAUUGGAGGGCAAGUCUGGUGCCAGCAGCCGCGGUAAUUCCAGCUCCAAUAGC
This 588-nucleotide ribosomal RNA is filed under the name uncultured marine eukaryote. RNAcentral describes it as "SSU rRNA". It matches the Rfam family "Eukaryotic small subunit ribosomal RNA", at positions 1 to 598 of the family's 1831-position model. The record is from RNAcentral.